GCGAAGUCGCGAGGCUAAGCUAAUCUCUUAAAGCUUCUCUCAGUUCGGAUUGCAGGCUGCAACUCGCCUGCAUGAAGCCGGAAUCGCUAGUAAUCGCGGAUCAGCACGCCGCGGUGAAUACGUUCCCGGGCCUUGUACACACCGCCCGUCACACCACGAGAGUUUGUAACACCCGAAGUCGGUGAGGUAACCUUUUGGAGCCAGCCGCCUAAGGUGGGAUAGAUGAUUGGGGUGAAGUCGUAACAAGGUAGCCGUAUCGGAAGGUGCGGCUGGAUCACCUCCUUU
This 285-nucleotide ribosomal RNA is filed under the name Enterococcus faecium. RNAcentral's name for it is "partial 16S ribosomal RNA". It matches the Rfam family "Bacterial small subunit ribosomal RNA", at positions 1249 to 1533 of the family's 1533-position model. RNAcentral also lists the same sequence under 2 other names. Lineage: Bacteria; Bacillati; Bacillota; Bacilli; Lactobacillales; Enterococcaceae. The record is from RNAcentral.